This 440-nucleotide ribosomal RNA is filed under the name uncultured bacterium. Its description in RNAcentral is "partial 16S ribosomal RNA". It matches the Rfam family "Bacterial small subunit ribosomal RNA", at positions 338 to 795 of the family's 1533-position model. The record is from RNAcentral.
CCUACGGGGGGCAGCAGUGGGGGAUAUUGCACAAUGGGGGGAACCCUGAUGCAGCGACGCCGCGUGGGUGAAGAAGCGCCUCGGCGCGUAAAGCCCUGUCAGCAGGGAAGAAAAUGACGGUACCUGAAGAAGAAGCCCCGGCUAACUACGUGCCAGCAGCCGCGGUAAUACGUAGGGGGCAAGCGUUAUCCGGAUUUACGGGGUGUAAGGGGGGCGCAGACGGCGAUGCAAGCCAGGGGUGAAAGCCCGGGGCGCAACCCCGGGCCUGCUCUGGGAACUGCGUGGCUGGAGUGCAGGAGGGGCAGGCGGAAUUCCUGGUGUAGCGGUGAAAUGCGUAGAUAUCAGGAGGAACACCGGUGGCGAAGGCGGCCUGCUGGACUGCAACUGACGUUGAGGCCCGAAAGCGUGGGGAGCAAACAGGAUUAGAUACCCGAGUAGUC